Pelobates cultripes (western spadefoot toad) is the source of this 515-nucleotide non-coding RNA. NCBI's taxonomy places the organism in Eukaryota, Metazoa, Chordata, Amphibia, Anura, Pelobatidae. The record is from the annotation of a GenBank genome assembly.
GGGGGAGUGAGCUCUAAAAGCAUGGGGAAUCUUGUGAAAAUUGAUGAAUGCAGCAUGUUAUCAGAAAAUACUGGCAGACAAUUGCAUUCCUUUGCACGAAGGCUGCACCUGGGACACUUUUGGACUUUCCAGCAUGACAAUAACUGUAAGAACAAGGCCAAGUUGACCCUCCAGUGGUUACAGCAGAAAAAGGUGAAGGUUCUGGAGUAGCCAUCACAGUCUCCUGACCUUAAUAUCAUCAAGCCACUAUGGGGAGAUCUCAAACGUGCGGUUCAUGCAUUACCUAGAGGCAUUUUUCCAAGACGAAUGGGCAGUUAUACCACCUGCAAGAAUUAGGGGCCUCAUAGACAACUAUUACAAAAGACUGCACACUGUAAUUGAUGCUACAUGGGACAAUACACAGUAUUAAGAACUAAGGGUAUGAAGACUUUUGAACAGGGGUCAUUUCAUUUUUUUCUUUGUUGCCAAGUUUUGUUUUAUAAAUGUGCCAUUCUCUUCUAACCUUCAGUUGAAAA